GGAUUGCAUGCGCGCAGCUGAUGCAGCCAUGCCGCGUGAGUGAUGAAGGCCUUCGGGUUGUAAAGCUCUUUCGUAGGGAGGAAAGUGCCGGUGUUAAUAUCAUAAGGACCUGACGUUUCCUAGCCAACAAGCGCGGCUUACUCCGUGCCAGCAGCCGCGAUAAUAA
Molecule: ribosomal RNA, 166 nt
Filed under: uncultured bacterium
Lineage: Bacteria
Description: partial 16S ribosomal RNA
Rfam family: Bacterial small subunit ribosomal RNA
Source: RNAcentral